AGCUCUUUACUAAUAGUAAUAUAUAUACUUCCACACUUAUCUAUUUCUUCUUACCCUAAUUCCUUGUGUAGUAUUUUAAUUCCGAUAAUUUCAAAUUUUAAUGGCUGAUCUGGGAAUUUCCAUUGCUGAGAAACUCAUUGAAGUGAUUGGGACAGAGAUCAUCAAAGAGAUUUGUAAUUUAUGGGGAUACAAAGCUCAACUUGAAGAUCUUAGCAACACUGUUACCACCAUCAAGAAUGUGCUCCUUGAUGCUGAGGCCAAGCGUGAACUCACUCAUAAGCAGCAAGGGUACAUAAAGGAGCUGAAGAAUGUUGUGUAUGAUGCUGAUGAUUUGUUCGAUCAGUUCCUCACCCUGGCUGAGCUUGACCAGAUUGAUGGCAAGGCAAUCACUUGCAAGGUACGUAUACGUCGUUUCUUUUGUUCUAAUACAAAGAAAUUGGGGCAGGCUUAUGAAAUGUCUAGGAAGGUUAAGGACAUUAAGAAGAAAUUAGAUGCAAUUACUGAUAAGCAUACUAAGUUUGGGCUUAGUGUUGAUAAUCAUACUAAAUUUGGGCUUAGUGUAGACUACAAACCCAUUUGUAUGAGAAGGGAGGAAACAUGUUCUUAUGUUGUUUCUAAGGAUAUUAUUGGGAGGGAUAAGGAUAAGGAGGAAAUUAUAAAUAGGUUGCUAGCAGUUCCAAAUGGUGAUGACAAUAUUAGUUUCUUGAGUAUUGUGGGAUUGGGAGGAUCAGGAAAAACUGCUCUUGCACAGUAUGUGUUUAAUGAUGAGAGGAUUAUUAAAGAGUUUCCAGAUAAGAAGUAUAGGUUAUGGGUAUGUGUAGCUGAUCAAGAUGGAGAACACUUUGAUAAGAAAUUAAUCCUUUGUAAGAUCAUAGAAUUGAUUUCUAUGCAGAAAUUUGAUAGUACAUCUUCGAUGGAAAUGGUGCAAAGGAAAUAUAGCGAGACAUUAGGAGGGCAUAAAUUUUUCCUGGUUCUUGAUGAUUUGUGGAAUGAAGAACGUUUAAAGUGGAUGGAUUUGGAAAAAUUCUUAAUGGUUGGUAAAGGGGGAAGCAGGAUUUUGGUGACUACACGUUCGAAAAUCACAACAAGUCUGAUAAGGGAUAACCAUGCCUAUGAGUUGAAAGGUUUGUCUGAAGAUGAUUCAUGGAGAUUGUUUGAAAUGUCAGCAUUCAUCAAUGGAAGAGAACAAGAAAGGCAUUCGGAAUUAGUUGAGAUUGGGAGGAAGAUAGUUAGGAAAUGUUGUGGCAUUCCUCUUCCUAUAAAGGUGCUAGGAAGUCUUUUACAUGGUCAGGAAAUAAAUAAGUGGAAGUCAUGUGAAGUGAAUGGAUUGACUAAAAUAGGUACAGGGGAUGGAAGUAUUUUAUCCAUACUAAAACUUAGUUAUCUUAAUCUUAAACCCUCCUUGAAAACUUGUUUUAGUUAUUGUGGAUUGUUUCCCAAGGAUUAUAGAUUUGAAAAGGAUGAGUUGAUUUCUCUUUGGAUAGCACAAGGUUACAUCAUUCCAUCAGCUGAAGAUGAGAGUGAUGAAAGUAUAGAAGAUGCUGCGGAGGAACAUUUCUUAAUAUUGCUACGGAGAUGUUUCUUUCAGGAUGUGAUCAGGAAUGAAUACGGUAGGGUGGUGUCAGUUAAAAUACAUGAUUUGAUGCACGAUGUUGCUCAAGAAGUGGGAAAACGUCAGGUUGAUAAAAUCCUCCAUGUUCGUUAUGUUAGUGAUGAAUAUCAAUAUGAACGCUCUUUGAGUAGGACUAAUAUUCGUUCAUUUGUAUGUUGGGAUUACACAAAACGUCAGGUUCAUAUGCAUAGUUAUUGGACGUGCCUUAGAGUGUUAGUCUUAACUGGUUCUAGAAUUGAACAGUUGGAUGAGACAAUAGCUAAGGAAUUGUUGCUGUUAAGGUAUCUUGACCUAUCUGAUACGCGUGUGAAAGUACUCCCUGAUUCGAUCACGAAACUCCAUAAUUUGCAAACAUUAGUUUUAAAAGGUUGCUUAUUGCAAGAGUUUCCUAAAGAGUUUUGCAAAUUAGUAAAACUUAGGCACUUGGACUUAAGAGAUUGUGAAGCUUUGACUCAUAUGCCUUUAGGCAUGGACAGGUUGAUGGAUCUAAGGGUACUUCCAAAAUUUGUGGUGGGAUACAAUUCUUUAGCUGCCAAUCAAAGUGAUUGCGAGUUAAAAUCUCUGAAAGUUCUCACUAAGAUAAAAGGUGACAUUGAGAUCCUGAUUUCUAAAAACUUCGAUAAUGUGGAGAAGGUGAUUGACAUUGGAGAAGGUCAUUUGAGUAAAAUGGAGCAUCUCAAUGGGAUUACAUUUAGAUUUUACUCAUUUGGUAGCUACAGUAGACAUGAAAUUUUAUUGGGAAACAUGGAGCCUCAUGCGAAUCUCAAGAGCUUUGAGUUGGAUAGAUACUUAGGCAGGACAAUACCAAGGUGGGGAAGGGCAUACAAUAAUUGGGCUAUCUAUCUUCCAAAUCUUGUUCGCAUCCAGCUCUUGAAUUGCUAUCAAUUGAUAGAGAUUCCAAUUCUUAGUAAACUACGUCAUCUGAGAUCAUUAAAACUUCAUCGUUUAAGACACUUGGAGUAUAUAGAGAACCGAGUAAACAAUAAUAGUAGGAGAUGGAGUGAUGCAGAAGCAACAAUCUUCUUUCCAUCUCUUGAAUGUCUUGAGAUUGAGUUGCUUUAUAUGUUGAAAGGAUGGUGGAAGGGAGAGGAGUUGGUGGUAGAUGGUGAUAAUCUCUGGAGGACAGAAUUUCAAUUUCUCCAUCUCUCUAAAUUAAGAAUCAGUGGGUGCCCAAAUCUAACAACAUUUCCACCCUGCCCAAAGUUGGAAACUUUAGAUGUGUGUGGAAGCAGUAAAAGGUUGCAAAUAUUAGUACAAACAACUGGCGAUGAGGUGGUCAAAUUGAGAAACUUCGAUGCAGAUAACGUGGGUUAUCUAAAGACAUUGCCCGUAAAUUGUAUAAGGAGCCUAGAUAUAGAGGGAGAUGAGGAGGUGGAAAGAUUAUAUGAAUUUGCGGAUGAUGUUUUUAAGACCCACGCAUCUUCUUUGAAAGAAUUGUGUUUUUCGGAUUGCCAGACUCUAUCAAGAGCUUUUGGAAUAAAAGGGUUGGAGCAUCUCACUGCUUUAACUUCGCUGACAUUGUGGAAUAUCGAACAAUUGGGUGUUGAAGACGACCAUGAUGUGCCUUGGAAGUCCUUAUGUCACUUCCUCUCUCGGUUGUGUGUGAUAGAAAUGGAAAAUAUGAAAGCCUUGCCAGAAUGGAUAACCACUUUAUCAUCUCUUCAAAGCCUCAUCAUUAAGAAUUGUCCUUCCCUCAAGUCACUCCCUGAAGAAAUACACAAUCUCACUUCCCUUCAAAGCCUCACCAUUGAUAAUUGUAAUUCCCUCAAAUCACUCCCGAAACAAAUGCGGAAUCUCAGUUCCCUUCAAACCCUUAAAAUUGGGAAUUGUCACGACUUGAUAGAAAGAUGCAAAGAACCCAGCGGAGUCGAGUUUCCUAACAGGUCACUUGAUAAGUGGGGGUUUUAUAACCUUGAGUCGUUCAUUCAGAGGCUUAAUUCAUAAACCAUUUCAACUGAAACAUGAGGUUGCUCCAGCAUGCAUGAGAGCUUGCUAAGACAUUGAUCAAUUAUUUGGUUCUUCGGGACCCAACGAAGGAGCUGAUUGGGACGGGAACUAGGAGAGACGGAUUAUACUAUUUUAGCAAUACAGAAUUGGUUCCUCAAGUGGGUGCGAUUGAAGCUUCGUCCCUGGAUUUAUGGCAUCGUCGUUUGGGUCAUCCUUCCGAGAAAGUAGUAAAGUUGCUUCCUCAACUUCGUAAUAAUAGAGAUGUUUUAGAUAAGGGGUGUGAAGUAUGUAUGCGUGCUAAACACUCUAGAGUUCGUUUUCCUUUGAGUACUAAUAGAGCUUCUAGAAUUUUUGAAAAAGUGCAUUGUGAUUUGUGGGGGCCGUAUAGACAUGUUUCUUCUUGUAAGGCUCGUUAUUUUCUGACAAUUGUUGAUGAUUAUUCUAGAGCAGUUUGGAUUUAUUUACUUCUUGAUAAAA
RNA transcript from Amaranthus tricolor (Joseph's coat), 4036 nucleotides. It is a transcript of the gene named disease resistance protein RGA2-like, with no coding region annotated. The transcript has 4 exons. Lineage: Eukaryota; Viridiplantae; Streptophyta; Magnoliopsida; Caryophyllales; Amaranthaceae. The record is from RefSeq and is a predicted model, not a curated record.